Molecule: long non-coding RNA, 537 nt
Organism: Cebus imitator (Panamanian white-faced capuchin)
Lineage: Eukaryota; Metazoa; Chordata; Mammalia; Primates; Cebidae
Exons: 3
Source: RefSeq, a predicted model, not a curated record
AGCGGCCCUGUCACCCGUUUCGCUGCCAAGCACAGGGCUGAGGUGCGGAGGGACUACUGAGAGGACUUCAAUGCGAGUCAGUUCACCUGUGGACGGCGUGUGGAGGAGGUGGUUGGCGAAUAGUGAAAUAUACAUAACUUUGAGAAGGGAAGAGAUCGUUUCUUAACGAGAGCAGAAAUUUGAAGGCAGACGCGGUGGAGGCAUUCCCGCUGCCCGAAGUGCAGAAGACCAAUCAGAAUGCAAUGUAUCUUAAUACACGUGCAAGGAAAGACAGGAGAGGACAUUAAAACUGGGACAGUUUAUGGAGACUUCAUGGUUGGGGGAAUCUGUACCUUGGGCACAGUGAGUCGUGGCUGUAGAAGCCUGCAGCUCAUCAUGUCAAGGGCAGGGUGUCAGGACUGUGGUUGAAGAUGAAGCAAGCAGCUCAGUGAAGUGUGCACAGCAAAGAAAUUAGGACACAGAUGCACAUAGUAGGAAGCCCAUGUGAAGACACAGGGAGAAGAUGGUCAUCUGCAAGCCCAGGAGAGAGGCCUCAGG